RNAcentral lists this ribosomal RNA (1451 nucleotides) under uncultured organism. RNAcentral describes it as "SSU rRNA". It matches the Rfam family "Bacterial small subunit ribosomal RNA". The record is from RNAcentral.
CUGUCGGCAGGCCUAACACAUGCAAGUCGAGCGGUAGCACAGAGAGCUUGCUCUCGGGUGACGAGCGGCGGACGGGUGAGUAAUGUCUGGGAAACUGCCUGAUGGAGGGGGAUAACUACUGGAAACGGUAGCUAAUACCGCAUAACGUCGCAAGACCAAAGUGGGGGACCUUCGGGCCUCAUGCCAUCAGAUGUGCCCAGAUGGGAUUAGCUAGUAGGUGGGGUAACGGCUCACCUAGGCGACGAUCCCUAGCUGGUCUGAGAGGAUGACCAGCCACACUGGAACUGAGACACGGUCCAGACUCCUACGGGAGGCAGCAGUGGGGAAUAUUGCACAAUGGGCGCAAGCCUGAUGCAGCCAUGCCGCGUGUGUGAAGAAGGCCUUCGGGUUGUAAAGCACUUUCAGCGGGGAGGAAGGCGUUAAGGUUAAUAACCUUGGCGAUUGACGUUACCCGCAGAAGAAGCACCGGCUAACUCCGUGCCAGCAGCCGCGGUAAUACGGAGGGUGCAAGCGUUAAUCGGAAUUACUGGGCGUAAAGCGCACGCAGGCGGUCUGUCAAGUCGGAUGUGAAAUCCCCGGGCUCAACCUGGGAACUGCAUUCGAAACUGGCAGGCUAGAGUCUUGUAGAGGGGGGUAGAAUUCCAGGUGUAGCGGUGAAAUGCGUAGAGAUCUGGAGGAAUACCGGUGGCGAAGGCGGCCCCCUGGACAAAGACUGACGCUCAGGUGCGAAAGCGUGGGGAGCAAACAGGAUUAGAUACCCUGGUAGUCCACGCCGUAAACGAUGUCGAUUUGGAGGUUGUGCCCUUGAGGCGUGGCUUCCGGAGCUAACGCGUUAAAUCGACCGCCUGGGGAGUACGGCCGCAAGGUUAAAACUCAAAUGAAUUGACGGGGGCCCGCACAAGCGGUGGAGCAUGUGGUUUAAUUCGAUGCAACGCGAAGAACCUUACCUGGUCUUGACAUCCACAGAACUUUCCAGAGAUGGAUUGGUGCCUUCGGGAACUGUGAGACAGGUGCUGCAUGGCUGUCGUCAGCUCGUGUUGUGAAAUGUUGGGUUAAGUCCCGCAACGAGCGCAACCCUUAUCCUUUGUUGCCAGCGGUUCGGCCGGGAACUCAAAGGAGACUGCCAGUGAUAAACUGGAGGAAGGUGGGGAUGACGUCAAGUCAUCAUGGCCCUUACGACCAGGGCUACACACGUGCUACAAUGGCAUAUACAAAGAGAAGCGACCUCGCGAGAGCAAGCGGACCUCAUAAAGUAUGUCGUAGUCCGGAUUGGAGUCUGCAACUCGACUCCAUGAAGUCGGAAUCGCUAGUAAUCGUAGAUCAGAAUGCUACGGUGAAUACGUUCCCGGGCCUUGUACACACCGCCCGUCACACCAUGGGAGUGGGUUGCAAAAGAAGUAGGUAGCUUAACCUUCGGGAGGGCGCUAACCACUUUGUGAUUCAUGACUGGG